UACGUAGGGUGCAAGCGUUGUCCGGAAUUAUUGGGCGUAAAGAGCUCGUAGGCGGUUCGUCGCGUCGGCUGUGAAAACCCGGAGCUCAACUCCGGGCCUGCAGUCGAUACGGGCGGACUUGAGUGUUGCAGGGGAGACUGGAAUUCUCGGUGUAGCGGUGAAAUGCGUAGAUAUCGAGAGGAACACCUGCGGCGAAGGCGGGUUGCUGGGCUGAUACUGACGCUGAGGCGCGAAAGCUAGGGGAGCGAACGGG
Molecule: ribosomal RNA, 253 nt
Filed under: uncultured bacterium
Lineage: Bacteria
Description: partial 16S ribosomal RNA
Rfam family: Bacterial small subunit ribosomal RNA
Source: RNAcentral